This is a non-coding RNA of Phytophthora megakarya, 47 nucleotides long. Lineage: Eukaryota; Oomycota; Peronosporomycetes; Peronosporales; Peronosporaceae. The record is from Rfam.
AUUCUGGUGUUUUUUAACACCACCCUUUUCAAAGAAACUAAUUCAAU